GUAGUAGGUCGGUUUGUCGCUGUUCAUCAAUGUGUGAAGAGAGGAAAGUCCGGGCAACGUAGAGCACCAUAUUUCUUAAUGGGAAGCUGUUUGUGAAAGCAGAGUAACGUAACAGAAAAUAACCGCCUUGCAUCUUUGUAUAAGAAGCGAGGUAAGGGUGAAAAGGUUGAGGUAAGAGCUCACCGGGUUGCAUAGCAAUAUGCGAUGCCGUACGUCUUAUGGGUUGUAAGGCCAUGUAUAUCGGUUAUAUGUAGGAUUGCUCGUCCGAUGCCGAGGGGUAGGCUGCUAAAGGGUGGUGGUGACAUCAUUCCGUAGAUAAAUGACAAACACCUUGCGUUUUGGUUAGUCUUGUACAAAUUGAAACAGAUGCAAGAGUACAGAACCCGGCUUAUAGACCUACUACUUUU
Molecule: RNase P RNA, 407 nt
Filed under: Proteiniphilum sp.
Lineage: Bacteria; Pseudomonadati; Bacteroidota; Bacteroidia; Bacteroidales; Dysgonomonadaceae
Description: RNase P RNA component class A
Rfam family: Bacterial RNase P class A
About the family: Ribonuclease P (RNase P) is a ubiquitous endoribonuclease, found in archaea, bacteria and eukarya as well as chloroplasts and mitochondria. Its best characterised activity is the generation of mature 5'-ends of tRNAs by cleaving the 5'-leader elements of precursor-tRNAs.
Source: RNAcentral